Molecule: ribosomal RNA, 954 nt
Filed under: Triticum aestivum (bread wheat)
Lineage: Eukaryota; Viridiplantae; Streptophyta; Magnoliopsida; Poales; Poaceae
Description: partial small subunit ribosomal RNA
Source: RNAcentral
AUGUCGUACAUACCAGCUGACGUCACAUACCUACAGGCCAAGUACCGCAGAGAGAGCAAGUUGGCAGACAUAGAGGCCACAAUAGCCUACUUCGAUGUGAAAGCAAAGGAAGAUCCAGAUUUCUUCUACAGGAUAAGGUUGGACGAUGAGGACCGUGUCAGGAACAUGUAUUGGGUGGAUGGUGCUGCAAGGAGAGCCUACAAACAUGUACAAGAUGCCAUUUCAUUCGACGCGACGUACCUCACCAAUAUGUACAAGAUGCCAUGCGCUCCGUUCAUAGGAAUAAAUAACCACAAUCAGUCGUUGCAGUUCGGAUGCGGCCUCGUCCGGAACAAAGACACAGAUGGGUACGUUUGGCUGUUCAAGACCUUCUUGGAGUGCAUGGAUGGACUUGCUCCGAUGAACAUAAUAACGGACCAAGAUUUCAGCAUGCGUGCAAGCAUAGAGGAGGUCUUUCUGUUGGCAGUGCACAGGCACUGCAGGUGGCACAUUAUAAAGAAGGCUGAGGAGACGCUAGGACCGUUCUUUGCCGACCGUCCAGAGCUGCACAAGGCAUUCGAGCUGUGCGUGGACCACAGCUUGACGGUGGAGGAGUUUGAAAGGAGCUGGAUGGCCAUGACUGAAACACAUAGUGUCCAGGACAACGAGACUCUUGUUAGCCUGUGGGAGAAGCGAAUGUACUGGGUGCCGGCCUACUUCAUGCAGUGCUUCUUCCCCUUUCUGCAGACUACGCAGCGCAGCGAGGGGUUUAAUGCUGUUUUAAAGCGGUACGUCAGCCCUGGCAACUCAUUGCUACAGUUUGCCAAGCAGUACACAGCUUUGCAACAAAAAAUUCUGGGAUCUGAGCUACAGCAAGAAGCGACCACAGCCCUAAAGCAGCCAAAAUUGCUAACGUAUUUACCGAUGGAGAGGCAAAUGAGCAAGAUAUACACCAACAAGAUCUUUAACAAGUAA